Molecule: long non-coding RNA, 362 nt
Filed under: Daucus carota (carrot)
Lineage: Eukaryota; Viridiplantae; Streptophyta; Magnoliopsida; Apiales; Apiaceae
Description: long non-coding RNA (DCAR_LNC006557)
Source: RNAcentral
UUACCUCCACCUCCGUCUUCCUCACCUACAGUACCGUAUAUCUAGCUUAAUGCCGAUUUAAAUUCCAGAUCUUUGCCAAAAAUCUGCCGGACAAAGCUAAAGGCUCCUUCCAUGUCCACCACCUCCAUCUCCACCUUCACCUCCAUUAUCUCCACCACCGCAACCACCACCUGAAUCGGCAACUAGAACAGAUUCAGAAAUUCUGGGCAGUUUCCGCAAGUUUUCACUAAUUCGUGCAACACAUAUCACUAAAUCGUAAAGAGAACAUCACUAAAUUGUACUAAGGAUAUCACUAACUUGUAUUGGUUUCUAGUUUUUAUUUUAAAAGUGGUUUCUAUUUGAUCAUGAGCCUAUAUAUAUAU